This 247-nucleotide ribosomal RNA is filed under the name uncultured bacterium. RNAcentral's name for it is "partial 16S ribosomal RNA". It matches the Rfam family "Bacterial small subunit ribosomal RNA", at positions 86 to 334 of the family's 1533-position model. The record is from RNAcentral.
AGAUAGCGACCGGCGCACGGGUGAGUAACACGUAUCCAACCUGCCGAUAACUCGGGGAUAGCCUUUCGAAAGAAAGAUUAAUACCCGAUGGCAUAAUAGAACCGCAUGGUUUGAUUAUUAAAGAAUUUCGGUUAUCGAUGGGGAUGCGUUCCAUUAGGCAGUUGGUGGGGUAACGGCCCACCAAACCUUCGAUGGAUAGGGGUUCUGAGAGGAAGGUCCCCCACAUUGGAACUGAGACACGGUCCAA